AGUGAACGCUGGCGGUAGGCCUAACACAUGCAAGUAGAACGGCAGCACAGUAAGAGCUUGCUCUUACGGGUGGCGAGUGGCGGACGGGUGAGGAAUACAUCGGAAUCUACUUUUUCGUGGGGGAUAACGUAGGGAAACUUACGCUAAUACCGCAUACGACCUACGGGUGAAAGCAGGGGAUCUUCGGACCUUGCGCGAUUGAAUGAGCCGAUGUCGGAUUAGCUAGUUGGCGGGGUAAAGGCCCACCAAGGCGACGAUCCGUAGCUGGUCUGAGAGGAUGAUCAGCCACACUGGAACUGAGACACGGUCCAGACGCCUACGGGAGGCAGCAGUGGGGAAUAUUGGACAAUGGGCGCAAGCCUGAUCCAGCCAUACCGCGUGGGUGAAGAAGGCCUUCGGGUUGUAAAGCCCUUUUGUUGGGAAAGAAAAGCAGCAGGUUAAUACCCCGCUGUUCUGACGGUACCCAAAGAAUAAGCACCGGCUAACUUCGUG
This 492-nucleotide ribosomal RNA is filed under the name uncultured bacterium. RNAcentral describes it as "partial 16S ribosomal RNA". It matches the Rfam family "Bacterial small subunit ribosomal RNA", at positions 29 to 507 of the family's 1533-position model. The record is from RNAcentral.